AGAGUUAAACAGUACGUGAAAUUGUUGAAAGGGAAACGAUUGAAGUCAGUCGUACCGAUGGGCAUUCAGCCUCUUGAGCACGAUUAUGCGGGCGUUGUGGAGUUUAACCCCUCGCGUUUGCAUAUUUGUGCACUUAGGGUGUACUUGCUCGUAUGGUAGGUUAACAUCAAUUUUGGUCGUCAUAAAAUGACCGGAGGAAUGUGGCUUCGAUUUCGGUUGAAGUGUUAUAGCCUUUGGUAGAUGUGGUGAUUAAGACCGAGGAUUGCAACGAAUACCUUUUAGGCUAUCCGUCUGACCUCUGAAGGUUGCUUAGGUACCGAAAGCUUGCUUAUGACAUUCUAGUUGGCGGUCAAAAGGUUAGAACGUGAUUACAUUCGUUAAGGAUGUUGACGUAAUGGCUUUAAACGACC
RNAcentral lists this ribosomal RNA (410 nucleotides) under Dominikia indica. RNAcentral's name for it is "partial large subunit ribosomal RNA". Lineage: Eukaryota; Fungi; Glomeromycota; Glomeromycetes; Glomerales; Glomeraceae. The record is from RNAcentral.